CAGUCGCCGCGGUAAUACGUAGGGUGCGAGCGUUAAUCGGAAUUACUGGGCGUAAAGCGUGCGCAGGCGGUUCGUUAAGACAGAUGUGAAAUCCCCGGGCUUAACCUGGGAACUGCAUUUGUGACUGGCGAGCUAGAGUAUGGCAGAGGGGGGUAGAAUUCCACGUGUAGCAGUGAAAUGCGUAGAGAUGUGGAGGAACACCGAUGGCGAAGGCGAUCCCCUGGGCCUGCACUGACGCUCAUGCACGAAAGCGUGGGGAGCAAACAGGAUUAGAUACCCCCGUAGUCCCUGUCUCUUAUAC
This 301-nucleotide ribosomal RNA is filed under the name uncultured bacterium. RNAcentral's name for it is "partial 16S ribosomal RNA". It matches the Rfam family "Bacterial small subunit ribosomal RNA", at positions 509 to 807 of the family's 1533-position model. The record is from RNAcentral.